CUCUGUUGGGGAAGUAUCACAAAUUUCUUAUCCUAUUUUUCUACUCUCACGCUUAUAUUUGUUACUAGCAACUGUCCUUACUGGAUUCUCCAAGAUAAAAUGCUGAACUAGACUGAACUUUGGUUUAACUCUGUGCAGCUGUUCUUACUUUUACUGGCUUGCAAACAUAUCUACAGAUUGGGAGCAUUCCAGACACAGCAGAUGCUAGCUGAGAAGAGCAUGCUGUUGGUCAGUGCCAUGGGAAAACAACAUAAGCUGGAAAUAAAGAAAAGGUGAGGGACCCUAAGAGAAAAGUGAAGAUAGGCUUGCAAGAGAUAACCACUGGAGAGAGUAGUCCAUAAAGGGAAGAAGAAUGGUCCUGCUGCCUCCAGAACCAACAACCCAUCAGGGGCAAGUUUGGAUCUCUUGGACCUAGAUGGGAUAUUCUGGAAAAUGUGAAAAUUUGAUGGUACUGCUAGGCUUUCUUGUCCAAAAAUGCAAUGGAUUGAAUAGGACACUGCAGCAUAUGACUUACAGGAGGCUGUUGAAGAGUUAAUAGAAGUAUGUCCAGAAAGCUGGCAAAAACAGAGAAGGAGGAAAGGAGGAAAAAG
This 590-nucleotide long non-coding RNA is filed under the name Apteryx owenii (little spotted kiwi). Its description in RNAcentral is "lncRNA (ENSAOWG00000015803.1)". Lineage: Eukaryota; Metazoa; Chordata; Aves; Apterygiformes; Apterygidae. The record is from RNAcentral.